This 98-nucleotide non-coding RNA is filed under the name human gut metagenome. RNAcentral's name for it is "Moco (molybdenum cofactor) riboswitch". It matches the Rfam family "Molybdenum/Tungsten riboswitch aptamer (Moco RNA motif)", at positions 12 to 120 of the family's 135-position model. The record is from RNAcentral.
AUGUUCUUCGAGCUGUUUAACCUAAAGGAGUAUCCUAUGGUUUUGCAGCCAGGGUGGUUCCGGAAACGGGGUUGCCUUCCGUGUUUGAAAAGGAGACA